RNAcentral lists this ribosomal RNA (514 nucleotides) under Escherichia coli. Its description in RNAcentral is "partial 23S ribosomal RNA". It matches the Rfam family "Bacterial large subunit ribosomal RNA", at positions 2127 to 2640 of the family's 2925-position model. Lineage: Bacteria; Pseudomonadati; Pseudomonadota; Gammaproteobacteria; Enterobacterales; Enterobacteriaceae. The record is from RNAcentral.
AGCCUUGAUGUGUAGGAUAGGUGGGAGGCUUAGAAGUGUGGACGCCAGUCUGCAUGGAGCCGACCUUGAAAUACCACCCUUUAAUGUUUGAUGUUCUAACGUGGACCCGUGAUCCGGGUUGCGGACAGUGUCUGGUGGGUAGUUUGACUGGGGCGGUCUCCUCCUAAAGAGUAACGGAGGAGCACGAAGGUUGGCUAAUCCUGGUCGGACAUCAGGAGGUUAGUGCAAUGGCAUAAGCCAGCUUGACUGCGAGCGUGACGGCGCGAGCAGGUGCGAAAGCAGGUCAUAGUGAUCCGGUGGUUCUGAAUGGAAGGGCCAUCGCUCAACGGAUAAAAGGUACUCCGGGGAUAACAGGCUGAUACCGCCCAAGAGUUCAUAUCGACGGCGGUGUUUGGCACCUCGAUGUCGGCUCAUCACAUCCUGGGGCUGAAGUAGGUCCCAAGGGUAUGGCUGUUCGCCAUUUAAAGUGGUACGCGAGCUGGGUUUAGAACGUCGUGAGACAGUUCGGUCCCUA